Xyrichtys novacula (pearly razorfish) is the source of this 12488-nucleotide non-coding RNA. The record is from the annotation of a GenBank genome assembly. Lineage: Eukaryota; Metazoa; Chordata; Actinopteri; Labriformes; Labridae.
UGCAAUUAUGUUUGGGAAUCUGGCGAUGGCGUAAAAUCCUUGUUUUAUUUCGGCUUGUUGGUGAUGUGUGUAUAGGAACUGGAUGUAAGUUGAGGCCAGAGAAAUUAUUGCAUCCAACUCUGCCGGCAUGAUUCUGCUUAGCAUUGGCUGCAAAAUGCCGUAUAUGUCUCCAAUCUCAGGCUGAAAUGUCCCGGUGGCCAAAAAUCCCAAGGUGGACAGGAGCUGGAUGUGCCCUGGGAUGGCUUUGGUGCAUUUUGUCUCUCGCUCCAACACGGGUUGUAAGUCAUAGCAUAAAUCCAUUAAAAUGUUUUUGGGGAAGCGGAAGCUACCUGCUGAGAAUCCACUCUGUGUUCUCACUGAACAGAUCAGCAUGGUCUUUAAAAAGGCGCUCCCUGCAGAGUCCUCCAAUAGCACAAAAUCUUUUGAGGUUGUUCUGUCACGGAUGAUUUUUAUAGCCUGUCACACCAAUCAUUCAAAAUGUCUGCUAAAUAACUAAUUGAUAAAUUUUGUAUAGAGGCAGCGGGGAACAUGUGUGAAGUUUGAGAUUGUUGAAUGCUGUGACUCCUUAAUGGGUUCUAUUUGUAGUUUCACUGUUCUACCACUAGAUUUUGUGUGUAUGCAUGGUCAGAGUUGUGCUUAGUUUUACGCACAUUCCUAAGCACAAGUACAGGUUGAUAAAUUACAUACUUUGCAUGGGAAUGUACGUAGGCACUCACUACGCACACAUCUAUGCGUAUGCAUGGUUGAUAAAUGAGGCCCCAGGAGAGGGAAGUGCGAGACCAGGAGGAGGGAGGGUCCAGAAGGGGGAAGAGAUGAUAAGGGGAGGGACCAGGAGGAGGGAGGAGGAAGGGGGGACCAUCAGAUUUAACAUUAAAUCACCUGUUAUAUGGGAACCAACAUCCAAAAAUUCUUCAAAAACAUCUUAAAAAAAUCUCAGCCCAUUUUAAUGUGAUGUAGCAACAAGUAAAUAACAUUUUUAGAAGGAUAAAAGGCAACACUAACAUCAAAAAAACUUUAAAAAACAAACAAACAAAAAAAAAAAACAGACUGACCAGGGUGAAGUGUUUCAUGACUGAAAAUCUGACACUCUUUAAGAAAACCAUGGAUGCUAAAUUGUCCUAUCUAAAGAGUGGCGGGACCACCUGGCUUUUUCUCAGCCCCCAGUCCAAAGCCAGCAUCUCUGAUGUAUGGGAAUCAUCAGAGUCCAUGUCAUGGGUAUCUUCCACAUCUGUGAAGACUUCAUGAACGACGACGCCGGUCUGUCGACAGCCAGGCUGAAGAAAGCCCUGGGAAGUGAAUUCUUCGCCAGGCCGGUGAAGUAGACGUUGUCUCGGUUGACCUGCGUGGAUUGACGGGAUUCCGAAGGAGGAUUCAUGUUCGAUAGAACCGGACCUGAUGUGAGUAUUUGGUACCUUUUAUGACACAGAUAACAAUAGAAAGAUUGUAGUGUCAUAGUCUGCCAGUGAGUGAGACUGGAGACAGGGAGAGGUCAACCCUUAAGUGACCUGGGGCCUCAUUUAUAAAGCUUGCUUACGCUCAAAACCUGGCUUGGAAGUGCUUACGCCACUUCUUACGCAAGAGUUGGGAUUUAUAAAAAAAACUAGUGUAGGAAUGUGCGCAACUUUAAGCAAACUCCACACCUUGCUUACGCACCUAGUGGAGACAAUUGGAGCAUGGUGAGAACAAUUGGUUAAUGGAAAGCGCAUGUAUAAAAAGCCAUACAGUGACAGUCGUGCGCAAUGCAGCACAAGUUUCAAGUUUCAAGUUUUAUUUGUCACAUGCCUAAAUGUACAGGUACAGUAGCAGUGAAAUGAAUCUGCGAUUGUGCCAAAAAACAGAAUAGUAGUAAGAAGAACAUCAAAUAAUCUAUAGAAAGAGAUAAAAUAAAAAUAGAAAUAAGAUAAAAAUAGAAAUAAGAUAAAUAUCCACUCCUAUAUACAUCCUAUGUACAAUAACCAUAAAAUAAAAAUAAAAUUAAAAUAAUUAGAAAUAUUGACUCCUAUGUACCAAGUAAACAAGGUAACAGAGGUAAACAGGUAAAGUGACCAGUAAGUUAUCUUCUGCAGUAAAGUCUGUUCAGAGGAUGUUGUGAAGUCAAUUAUGGGGUGUGUGUUAUGAGGGGGUCAGGAUCCGAGUGGCCUGGGGGAAGAAGUUCCCUUUCAACCUCUCAGUCCUGGCUCUGAUAGAGCGAAGCCUCUUACCCGAGGGCAGCCACUCAAACAGUCUGUGGAUGAGAUGGUGAGUGUUUGAUAAUCCGUCUUGCCCUGGACCUGCACCGCUGGGUGUAGAUGUCCUGGAGGCCGGGCAGUGCAGUACGGGUGAUGCGUUAAGCACAACGGAUGACUCGAUGCAGGGCCUUUCUGUCCUGAGAGCUGCAGCUGCUGUACCAGGCAGUGAUGCUCGCAGAAAGCACAGACCCCACUGUGGCGGUGUAGAAAGUUUGAAUUUGAAUUUACAAAUGUGCAGAAAAACAAUUUCCAUUUACAUGCAUUUGUUUUCAGAUUAAUAUGACUAAAUCUUUUUGGUUUACAAACUUUCACCACAUAAGCAGCGGUGGAUAACGGAGCAGUUUUUUUGGAACACAUGCAUGAGUGUCACAUGUGCUUGUGUUUUCUGAUCCUCACCUGUCGUCGCCACACUCCGACGGUGCAAAGCCACUUUUUUCUUUGCCUCCACCUUUAGAUCAGACCACUUCUUCUUGAUUUCGGCAAUGCUGUGCUCAGUGCCAGCCACACUUACCGCCACGGUGCAGACGACUGCAGACGGGAAGUAACCGGUAUAAAAAUAGAGUAGCACUUGGUCUGAUGGUAUAUCGGUGCCGUAGACGGUCUGACAACAUUCUGGUGUUGUAGACGGGAUUGAAUCAGCCUUGAUUCGUGUCAUGACAAAAAGUGUGAAUGAGUGAGUGAAUGCUGAGAAAUGAAUGCUAAGUCUGAUUUCUGAAGCAGCAACAGUGACCCGAAACCUACCGGUGUGAACAUAAAGUCACUGGCUUGUUGAAGUAGGGAAUCAGACCUCUGGAUUAAGGCCGUUGUCAAGGACAUCUAGUCUGAGGACAACAAACAGUUGACAUAAUGGGGAACAGUGGUUCUCAACCAUAGACUGAAUAUAAGAUGGACAGAGUCUGCCUCCUCGCUGGGUGAAGCCACUCCGAGAACAGCACCCUCUGAUGGUGGGCUGCAGUACAGAUCAUAAAUCCCGCCUCUGCCAGCAAAGCUUAUGGGACUGUGGACAAACUUUAGAAAUUUAUUACACAGAACAUACAUUUUUCUCCCCCCUGCUUGUGAUGUUGACAUGUAGUUAUUGUAAGACUGGUUUGUGCUUAAAUCCUUUUUUUUCUGUACAGCUCCAUUUUUAAAAGUUAUUAGGGGGUUCAUGUUUUCUAUGAUUGACACCUGGUACAGCCUAUGGGCGUUCAGGGAUUGCGUAGCUCUCCUGGGGGGAUACGCUGUUUGAGCCGAGCGUCAUCAAAGGGACUCUCGGCGACUGGGAGGCCGAAUGCGCACAACGCUACUGCACAGCUCUGGUUUCAAGGAAGUAGAGAAAAACCCGGAAUUACCUAGAGCUUUUUGGCUUCAAAUCCGUAUACAGGUGGAAGGCGGAACCACGUUGUCCAUCUUAUAUACAGUCUAUGUUCUCAACCAAAUACACUAAGUGGAGGUGUAAAGUAUAUGGAGUUACGACUCCCAGGUAGUGGGAAAUAUUUGAAGAAAUGGCAGAAAAAGUAUAAAUGGACAGGGAAAUUGAAGGUGACAGAAUGUAGAAAUCUCGCUAAAAUGUUGAGAGCAAAAGCAGAAACGUGUAAGGGAAAGAAAAAGAAAAAGAGUGAAGAGGCAGCAACAGCUGAGUUGUGGGCUAAAGAAGCACUACCCAGACAGGAAGGUAUUCAGAAGGGAAAGGCAAGUAGAACUGAUGUGUAUGCAGUAAGUCGAAAAGAGGAUGAUGAAGGUGUAAUGGGGAGAAGUCGAAAUGGAGGUGAUAGGCAAGAACUAGAGGAGGAAGUACAAGGAGUAGCACGGGGUCAUGUAAAUGAACCAAGGAGAAGAGGGAGACCAUCAAAAAUAGGUCAAGGAGAUAGGAAGAGGGGAGAUCCAGAGCCACCCCGCUGUAAAGAAACAGGGAAAUUGUACCCUGAUUUAACUAAGAUUUCUAAACCACAGACAAGUAGCGUAACCAGGCGACCACUAAAUGAGCAGUAUGAAUCGGACACAGAAAAUGACUCAGACUCAAAUUCCCUGAAACAAUACCCUGAUCAGCCACCACUAAAAUUAACAGCUCAAACAUAUCCAAUGAUACAAGUACCAAAUCCUGCUAGAGGAGGAGAUGGCCAACCUAAUGACCUGUUGGUGUACAGACCCUGGACAGCCACUGAAUGCCAGGGAGCUGUAGACAUGUUGCCCUCAUACAAAGAAGAUGUGGACAAAUGGUGCGCAGAUUUCAGACAGCUGGUGAAUUCGUAUCACUUAAAUGGAUACGAAACAGGCCAAGCGCUCCAAGCAGCGCUGAAACUAGAUUGGGGAAGAGUCAGAGGAAAUUUCACAGGACAUAAUGGAGCAAAUCCACCUGUGGUGCUGGAACAAGGUUCUGAAGUACUAACACAACAAAUAGACGGAGUGUUAUAGAGAAUGACACAGGUCUUUGCAAGACGAGCAGAUUACAGAAAAUCAGGUGCAGUAAAACAAAAAGAUGACGCGACUGUGGAUGAUUUUAAAGUCAGAUUUGAGAAAGAGUUCAGAGUCCUAAGCGGACUGCAAUAUGCAGAAGAUGAUAACGGUCCAUAUCAACAACAGCUAAAGAACACACUGUUGACUAACAUGCUACCUGGAGUAGCUCACUGGGUUUGUAAACAUUAUGUAGAUUUGAGUACAGCUUCAGCAACCCAAAUGAUGAACUGGGCACGACAUGCCAAGAAAGUAAUAAAAACAAAGAAAAAUGAAGGAAAAAAUAAAACGGCUGUGUUUUGGGUAGAAGAAGAAACAGGAACUUUCUACCAGGGAUCCUAUCAACCCAGAGGACGUGGGCACGGCCGAGGUCACUACUCCGGAUGGGGAGGGAGGGGUCCCAGUAGAUCUAGACAGUCAGAACCAGGAAAAGAUUAUCUUUGUUGGCGAUGCGGGAAACAGGGACAUUAUUCUCGAGACUGCUGAAUGAGAGAGCAGGAAGGUCCUGGGGGAACUGAGACUCCCCCACAUCAGGGGGCCCCCUCCGUCAGCACCCCCCUCAAAACGAACCUGUUCCUCAUGACUGAUACUCAGCAUGACUUCAAAAAGAGGAAGUGUGCAGAGAAUUUUUAGACUGUGCUUCCUCAUGUAAUGCCUUAGCACUAUUAGAAGAAAAAACAGAAGUAGAUCUGUGUCUAAAUGGCAGGGAAUUUCAGGGAAACUUGUGACUUUAUUUUCAUAAAUUAAUGACUUUAUUUGUGUAAAUUCACGACUUAAAUCUCAAAGUCUUUAAAAAAAAUUCUCAAUAUGGCCCUCAUACUCCUUCAUACAAAACAAUUAUUGGAUGAAUGGUAUGUAUCUACUAUUUUGUGUCUGUGCAAGGUCGCACAAUGAAAAAAUAAAUGCUGCGUUCCGCAGGUUUUCUUUAUUUCAGUUGUGACGCAAGCCUGAGGGCGGGGACAUUUGGCGACUCCACCAGGAAGUCCUCCGAAGGUCUCCAAACUUCCCCGCCCUCAGGCUUACGUCACGACUGACUAGAAAAAAAGCUGCGGAGCGCAGCAUUGAUUGUUUUAAUUGUGCAACCUUGCACAGACACAAAUAGUAGAUACAUACAAGCACAGAUCAUUCCCACAAAAUUCAUCCAAUGAUUGUUUUGUAUGAAGGAGUAUGAGGGCCAUAUUGAGAAUUUUCUUUAAAGACUUCGAGAUUUAAGUCGUGAAUUUAUGAGAAUAAAGUCAUUAAUUUAUGAGAAUAAAGUCGUAACCUGUUAUUUCCGAGGAGACUUGUUAAAAUUAGGGCCACAAAGCAUUUGAAGGAACUGUGCUUCUGUAUAGGUUUCACAAAAAAAGGAGAUACUUCAUCCUUUGGCACAUCAGCAUCACAUUGUCAUAAGUAUAAAGACUUAAAAAAAGAAUAUGAGAAAUAUGUCUUUUCCACAGGAAAAAACUGGUGGACUUGAAGGAAAUCGCUGCUUUUGUGGAGGCAGAAAUGGAUAUGCAGAGGAUAUAUCUGUCAAUGCAGCUGUAAAUAUCCGUGAAUGACAUUGAGCUUUAGUUUAUGAUAUGAAUCCAUAUGCCAUAAUAAGGUGUUGGUGUCUCUGCAGGUGUAGACUACCGCCGGUGUCAGAGACGUGGUGCUCGUCGGAGCUCAACUCCCUCUGGAUCACAAAUGUUGAUUAUCAUCAGUUGGAUUGUUUCUUCAGAAACCACAAAAUCUCUCUGAAUGACCCGCUGAUACAUCCACAGAUAACCCUGCAGAUGACCAGCUUCAGUCAUUUCCCCCUCCACAAAAGCAGCUUUAUGACUUUAUUUACUUCAUGACUUUAUUCUCCUAAAUUUACAACUUUAAUCUCUAAAUCUUAAAAGAAAAACACUCAAUGUUGUCCUAAUACUCUGCUGUAGUUUUGUCAGCUUUCUUAUUUCUAAUGUUUUUGAUAGUUGAAGCAGAGCGGAUCAGUUGUCUCUGAAUCUAUAAUGUUUGGUUUGCAGAUUUUAGUGAGUUCAGAGAUCAUGUGCUCAUACAGCCUGAACUGACUGUCUGCUGUGUUUGGAUUUCUUGUAUUUUCUUUGAAGACGCACUGCGUCUCCAAGCGAAUCCAGGCUCUCACCUGAAAUGCGCAGCUGUGCAGCGACACGCAAAGAAUUCUGGGAUAUCAACGGCACAAAAGCAUGCAUAAAUGCACGCUUGAAAAAUGCUAAGCGCGCUUAGCAUUUCUUAGCAUUUCAUGCCAAAUGGGACACCGUUCAAAUGCGCCAUUAUGUGCCGUUUGACGGUGCGGUCUCUGAAAUGGGACACAGCCUCAGUAUUACUCUCUGAAGCAGAGGAGAAGCUCUUAGAGACUCUGCCGAGCAGUCUGUGGACAACAGGUCCCACAGAUGUUGGGUUGAUAAAAACCAGCAAUCCCGUACAAAUCAAGCCGAGAACAGAAUGGAGGCUCAGAAUUAGGCAAUAUCCCCUAAAACCAGAUGCCAUUGAAGGUUUUAGACCAGUGAUAGCAGAUUUACUAAAAGUAGGGGGAACUCCGAGAAUGUCCUACACCAAUUUUCCCAGUCAGAAAAGCUAAUAGCACGGAAUGGAGAAUGGUGCAAGAUCAAAGAGCAGUAAAUGAUGCAAUACAAUCCAGGGCACCAUUAGUGCCAGAUCCUCAUACUCUUUUGAAUUCUCUAAAACCAGAGAAUAAAUAUUUCACUGUGAUAGAUCUUAGCAAUGCAUUCUUCUCCAUUCCUAUUCAUCCAGAUUCACAGUUUUGGUUCACCUUCACAUUUGAAGGUAAAGCCUAUACCUACACACGACUCCCGCAGGGAUUCUGUGAUAGCCCUACAAUUUUCUCUCAAGCCAUAACUAGCUGUUUAGCUGCAUUCAAAGCCCCACGGGGAAGUCAGAUACUUAUUUAUGUAGAUGACAUUUUGCUGGCCUCCCCCUCAAAAGAAGCAUGUGAGGAGGAUUCAGUGGCACUUCUUCAGUUCUUACAUAAAACAGGAAGCAAAGUAAAAAAGCAGAAGUUACAAUGGGUCAAGACAAAAUUUCAGUAUCUGGGGCACACUCUUAGUGAAAAGGGAAAGUCUGUCCAGAUAAAGAGGAAACAGGCCAUUCUACAAGCACCUAAACCUCAAGUAAAACAACAGAUGAUGGCUUUCUUGGGGUUGUGCAACUACUGGCAUGCAUGGAUUCCUUCUUAUGCUGAGAAGACACAGCCAUUAUUAGAUCUACAGUGUUAUUAAUGCCAGACUACAGUAAACCCUUUGUGCAAACCGUAGAUUGUAAAAACGGGUUUAUGACAUCUGUACUGCUACAGAAACAUGGAGGAAAGAUGAAACCUUUAGCUUUCUACUCAAAAAGAUUAGACCCAGUAGCGGCUUCACUUCCACCAUGUGUACAAUCUGUAUGUGCAGCUGCACUGGCUGUAGAAAGUUCUGCAGAUGUUGUAUUAUUCGACGAAACCACUCUGUUGGUUCCGCAUGCUGAAGAUAUGCUUUUAUUGCAGACAAAAAUGAAUUCUGUCCUGUACCGCGUUAUUGUCAUCUCAGCCACAUAUCACUGUAAAAAGAUGCACCACACUGAAUCCAGCCACACUCCUACCCACAGAAGACGAUGGGUACCCACAUGACUGUGUCUAGCAAGCUGAAGAGGUACACUUACCUAGACCAGACUUAAAAGACACAGCUUUAACAGAAGGAUUGACAUAUUAUGUGGACGGAUCCUGUUUUAAAACAUAUAAAGGACAGACAUGUACAGGAUAUGAAGUUGUAGAUGAUACAAGUGCCAUUGAAGCUAAAAAGUUACCAGGACAUUUCUCUGCACAAGCUACAGAACUCAUUGCACUCACCAGAGCUUGUAUAUUAGCAAAAGACAAAUCAUUAAGUGUGUAUACUGAUAGCCAAUAUGCUUUUUCAAGUACCGUAUUUUCCGCACUAUAAGGCGCACCGAAAAACCUCCGGUGCGCCUUAUAUAUGGACCAAUAUUGAGCCACAACAGGUCUCGCAACUACGGUAAGCAGCCGCCGACUUCAUUUUCCCCCGUAGAAGAAGAAGCGCGCUGUGCAUGCUGGGAUAUAUGACUGCGCGCGGCGUGCCGUUUCAUUUCCAUUUGUGUGUUUAUGUAAAGACCCCAAAAUGGCUCCUAUUAAGAGACACGCUUACGACGCAGAGUUUAAACUCAAGGCGAUCAGUCACGCAGUAGAACACGGGAAUAGAGCAGCAGCGAGAGAAUUUAACAUUAACGAAUCAUUCCCUUUAGCGCAGCCUCAUUUAAUGGAUGCAUAACGUAACCCCAGCCUCUACUGUAGCGUCUAUUCUAUGCGCCUUAUAAUGCGAUGCGCCUUAUAUAUGAACAAAGUUUUAAAAUAGGCCAUUCAUUGAAGGUGCACCUUAUAAUCCGGUGCGCCUUAUAGUGCGGAAAAUAUAUACAUAUAUAAUAUAUAUAUUCUAUUUUGCAAAACAUUGGGAGCGAAGAGGUAUGGAGACAACCACAGGCAGAAAUAUCACCCAUGCUGCACUGUUAAAAGAUCUAUUGUAAGCAGUUUCACUUCCCUUAAAAUUAGGUAUUUGUAAAUGUGCGGCCCACACGAAAGGUCAGGAUACGGUUUCUUAGGGGAACCGUAGAGCUGACAAAGCAGCCAAAGUGGCAGCACAGGGUCAGUAUGGUGAAAGUACAGUUUAUCUAGUGAAAAACAACAUGUAUAUAGACUCAGAGGUGUUACAAGACAUGCAGAAUAGUGCACCUCAGACAGAGAAAAAGGACUGGACUGAUAAUGGAGCUGUAAGAAAUAAUGAUACCAUUUAUGUUGUAAAUGAUAAACCAGUUCUACCAAGAAGUUUGUUUAAAACAGCAGCAAUUUUGAGCCAUGGGCCCUGCCAUGUCUCAACAGGAGGGAUGGUAGAAAUAAUAAACAAACACUUUACAACAUAUGGUUUCACAACUUACUCAAAAAAUUUUUGCAGAGCAUGUACUAUAUGUAUUAAGCAUAAUCCUGAGGGAAAUAUCAGACCUAAGAGGGAAAGAUUUCCUGCACCAGAGUAUCCAUUUCAAUGUGUACACAUGGAUUUUAUAGAACUUAACAGAAGCGGAGAAUAUAAAUACUGUUUAGUAUUAGUGGAUGCUUUUUCUAAAUGGGUUGAAAUAGUGCCAGCAAAAACUGCAGAUGCACUAACUGUAGCUAAAGCACUAUGCAAAACAAUAAUUCCACAACAUGGAAUUCCACAGACAUUAUACAGUGACAACGGACCACAUUUUGUAAAUAAAGUAAUUGAGACUGUGGCCCAGAACAUGCAGAUAAGACUGAAAAAUCAUUGUGCCUACCACCCUCAGAGUGCACGGUUAGUAGAACAAACAAAUGGUACUGUCAAGAAUAGACUAAAGAAGUGUAUGGAACACACAAACAGGCCGUGGCCAGACUGCUUAGAUCUUGUGAAACUUUACAUGAGAAUAACACCAACUGAUAAAGGAUUAACUCCUUUUGAAAUCCUUUAUGGAAGAUCUUUUCGACUGCCACUUGUAAAUAACUCUGUUGCUAUAUCACAUGAAGAGCAUACUUUAUGUGAUUAUAUGUCUAACAUGUUAAAAGAAAAAGAAAUUGUCAAAGCAAAAACACUGCCAGUCUCUGAUUUGUCAUUACAGGAGCAGAAAGUGACGGUUGGAGACUAGGUGCUCAUCAAAGUGAUAAAAAGAAAGACGUGGUCCAGCCCCCGGUGGGAAGGCCCCUAUCAAGUCCUACUGACAACUCCCACGGCUGUGAAAAUAGCAGAACGCCCUUCCUGGAUUCAUCUCAGCCACUGCAAAGUACAGCGCGUGCUUGACGGUUCAACUGAGUAGUGGGGAAGUCUGACUACAAAGGGGAUUCACCUUUUAGUGGUGUUUCGUCUCAAUGUCAGUGAAGCAAUCAAGGAUCCCUACUCAAUAGGAGUCUGAUAGACGUGGACAAUAUGGCAGACGGUGAGGAAGGAUCAAGACAACAAUCCAGGAGGCAGCGUCGGUGUACGGAGGUAUGCUGUGGAUUCAUGCUGGUAGCGCUGAUUCUUUUUGGACUCCUGGUAUGGUGGCUUCUACAGGAUGUUCCUCAACAACGAGAGAGAGAAGCGAGCACCAUGUUGAUGUAAGCCUGGAGACACACGUAACCAACAUGUGGUAUAGAUUGGCCAAUGCCACAGCAAAAGCAUACGACGAGACAGAUUGCUAAGUGUGUUCUUAUGUUCCACAUCAUUCAGACAGUAAUCCAUUCCUGACACUUAUUCCAAUGGGAGAACAUGAACUAGUUUGCCUGAUGAGUUUCCAAGGGCAUAUGCGACAAUGGGUUGGGAAAGCUAACGAGGCUCCAAGGUACUUUUUCAAGAAUACCAACUGUGGUAAAUUCCAAAUACCAAGCUUCGAGACAUGGUUACAUCCAUGUAACUUCUCAGGAAAAACCAACUCCACGUUGACCAGAGGAAUUGUCCCAGCUUGUAAUGACUUACAAACUGCAGCAUGCAUUGCUAGAACCUGCAAAACCGGACAUGACCGAUUCUUAGGAGGAACUACCAAUUGUGAAUGGAUAGACACCUCCUACAAUGCCAAAGAGAAGACGUGUGAAAUCCAAGGUAAAUGGUAUAACACGUACACAAAUGGCUGUCAGCCAGAACCGAAGACAGAGUUUAACAUCACCAGCUCUACAUCAAAGAAGGAACACUUCCUAAGUCUUAUGAUCGGUUCCUUUGUGGAGAUUCCGACAGCAGAGGAGAUGAUGAUUCGUGGAUCAAGCACACCCCCCUCCAUGGUUUGGCUCUGUGGACACAAAAUCUACAGGUUCCUUCUGGACAGAUGGUGUGGAUCCUGUACUCUGUGCAGACUGGCACCUGCAGCUUUUGUCAUACCGGCUAAGAACAUCACCGCCCACCACAGGAGCAGACUACAGAAACAAGAGGUUGAGGAGAAAAAAACCACCUCUCAUAUCUUACUUAAGAGGAACAAUCAUGACCAUCUUUCCACACUAUGGUGUGGCAUUCUUGGGACAUUGCAUGAACGUCCUCUACUGGGACUUGGAUAACCUUACCUCCAUGGUGUUGCAACUAGCAAAAACCUUAGCCAAUGACAAGGAGAAGGCUGCAAUGUGAGCCAUUAUAAUGCAGAAGUGCAUGGCCUUAGACUUACUAUUACCUGAACGAGGAGGGACUUGUGCUGUUGUCGGAGAUCACUGUUGCACUUACCUUAGAACUAUACUGCUAUAGUCCAUGGGUUACAAGAACUGAAGGACCAGUUGAGUACACAAGCCGACCUUGGGACAAUGAUUUUAAUCCCCUUCAGUGGUUCACAACUGGUCCUUGGUGGCAAAUGCUUUUGAAAAUAUUGACCCCAGUAAUUGUGAUUCUAUUACUGUUCUGUCUAUUUACUACUUGUGUGUUACUGUUGAUUCGAUCCAUGAUUAACAAGGCCGUUGCAGGUACAGUAUUGGAAGUAUAUGCCCACAUGCUAACAAUUUCACAGGAAUACAAAGAAUUAAUCCAAGACGAUGAGGACGAAGAUACCAUUGUUUAGACACUUGAGGAUGAGCCUACUGAAAUUGUGUUAAACGGAUGGUAACGCUUUGAUGUAUUUGUGAUCUCAAGAAUGAUAAACAGGAGGGAAAUGUUAGACUUUUGUGCCAUGCAUUGUGCAAGGGACAUGAAAUGCUUAUGUUCCUCAUUGUGUAAGAGUAACAAAACUAUUGCAAAGUUGACAGUUGCAGAAGUUUGCAGAAGUGAAUGACUAUGCAUAAUCAUGAAAUAAAAGAUGCCCUUGUGGAAGAACUGGUCAGAGAGGGCCUGACUGAGAACUCGAGCAGUUCUCCUCAGCCGUUCUUUCCUUGUGCAAGUGAAA